AGCAGCCGCGGUAAUUCCAGCUCCAAUAGCGUAUAUUAAAGUUGUUGCAGUUAAAAAAGCUCGUAGUUGAAUUUCGGGAUCAAAGGAUCGGUCAUGCCUUGGUAUGUACUUGGUUUUAUUGGUUCUCACCUUCUAAAGAACCAUAAUGUCAUUCAUUUGAUGUUAUGGGGAAUUAGGACUGUUACCUUAGAAAAAUUAGAGUAGUUUAAAGCAGGCUUACGCUUGAAUACAUUAGCAUGGAAUAAUGAAAUAGGACAUCAGAUUCUAUUUUGUUGGUUUCUAGGAUCGAUGUAAUGAUUAAUAGGGAUAGUUGGGGGCAUUAGUAUUCAAUUGUCAGAGGUGAAAUUCUUAGGAUUUAUUGAAGACUAACUACUGCGAAAGCAUUUGCCAAGGAUGUUUUCAUUAAUCAAAGAACGAAAGUUAGGGGAUCGAAGACGAUCAGAUACCGUCGUAGUCUUAACCAAUAAACUAUGCCGACGUAGGGAUCGGAUGAUUGUUUAAUUUUUAAUGUACUCAUUCC
RNAcentral lists this ribosomal RNA (520 nucleotides) under uncultured Glomus. Its description in RNAcentral is "SSU rRNA". It matches the Rfam family "Eukaryotic small subunit ribosomal RNA", at positions 569 to 1082 of the family's 1831-position model. The record is from RNAcentral. Lineage: Eukaryota; Fungi; Glomeromycota; Glomeromycetes; Glomerales; Glomeraceae.